Regulatory RNA element from Collinsella sp. CAG:289, 36 nucleotides. It matches the Rfam family "L31-Coriobacteria ribosomal protein leader". Lineage: Bacteria; Bacillati; Actinomycetota; Coriobacteriia; Coriobacteriales; Coriobacteriaceae. The record is from Rfam.
GUCCUGGUCGGAAACCAGGACGCGAUUCCAGAGGAG